AGGGCGGUGGCUCAAUUGGUAGAGCAGCGGUCUCCAAAACCGCAGGUUGCAGGUUCGAGUCCUGUCCGCCCUGCCA
This 76-nucleotide transfer RNA is filed under the name Leucobacter chromiireducens subsp. solipictus. Its description in RNAcentral is "tRNA-Trp". It matches the Rfam family "tRNA". From Rfam's summary of the family: Transfer RNA (tRNA) molecules are approximately 80 nucleotides in length. Their secondary structure includes four short double-helical elements and three loops (D, anti-codon, and T loops). The record is from RNAcentral. RNAcentral also lists the same sequence under 8 other names. Lineage: Bacteria; Bacillati; Actinomycetota; Actinomycetes; Micrococcales; Microbacteriaceae.